AUGCACAACGGUAGAGAACCGGACAAUAACCGGGGUCUGAACCCCAGGAGCCCGGAGGAAAUCAGCGCAAGUGAGCUGAGAAACAUCAUGAGUCACCUCAAAGAACCCCUUAGCACUGGCUCCCCGUGCAUGAACAACACGUUCAGGGAUACGCUCCCGGUCAAACUGUGCAAGCUUUUCAAUCAGAUGGUAAUCCUCAAGAAGGAUAGGUCCUGUGAAAGGAAGAAUUCAUCAUUAUGCCGAGUAACAAAUUAUCCACGGGAGAAGAUAAGAAAAGCAGAAGCUUCUGGGCAUAGCUACAGAUACAAAAGAGGAAAAAUCACAUCGGGCAACUUCAGGUAG
RNAcentral lists this ribosomal RNA (342 nucleotides) under Triticum aestivum (bread wheat). Its description in RNAcentral is "partial small subunit ribosomal RNA". The record is from RNAcentral. Lineage: Eukaryota; Viridiplantae; Streptophyta; Magnoliopsida; Poales; Poaceae.